GAUGAACGCUGGCGGCGUGCCUAAUACAUGCAAGUCGAGCGAACAGAUAAGGAGCUUGCUCCUUUGACGUUAGCGGCGGACGGGUGAGUAACACGUGGGUAACCUACCUAUAAGACUGGGAUAACUUCGGGAAACCGGAGCUAAUACCGGAUAACAUUUGGAACCGCAUGGUUCUAAAGUGAAAGAUGGUUUUGCUAUCACUUAUAGAUGGACCCGCGCCGUAUUAGCUAGUUGGUAAGGUAACGGCUUACCAAGGCAACGAUACGUAGCCGACCUGAGAGGGUGAUCGGCCACACUGGAACUGAGACACGGUCCAGACUCCUACGGGAGGCAGCAGUAGGGAAUCUUCCGCAAUGGGCGAAAGCCUGACGGAGCAACGCCGCGUGAGUGAUGAAGGGUUUCGGCUCGUAAAACUCUGUUAUUAGGGAAGAACAAACGUGUAAGUAACUGUGCACGUCUUGACGGUACCCAAUCAGAAAGCCACGGCUAACUACGUG
This 497-nucleotide ribosomal RNA is filed under the name uncultured bacterium. RNAcentral describes it as "partial 16S ribosomal RNA". It matches the Rfam family "Bacterial small subunit ribosomal RNA", at positions 28 to 507 of the family's 1533-position model. The record is from RNAcentral.